This 1357-nucleotide ribosomal RNA is filed under the name uncultured bacterium. RNAcentral's name for it is "partial 16S ribosomal RNA". It matches the Rfam family "Bacterial small subunit ribosomal RNA", at positions 45 to 1399 of the family's 1533-position model. The record is from RNAcentral.
UGCUUAACACAUGCAAGUUGAACGAAGCUCAAGGGAUUGACUCCUUCGGGAAGAUAUUCUUUGAGACUUAGUGGCGAACGGGUGAGUAACACGUGAGCAACCACCCCCUGACAGUGGAAUAACAACGGGAAACCGUUGCUAAUACCGCAUAAUAUCCCUGUAUGGCAUCAUAUGGGGAUCAAAGAUUUAUCGGUCAGGGACGGGCUCGCGUCCGAUUAGGUAGUAGGUAAGGUAACGGCUUACCUAGCCUGCGAUCGGUAGCCGGACUGAGAGGUCGAUCGGCCACAUUGGGACUGAGACACGGCCCACACUCCUACGGGAGGCAGCAGUGGGGAAUAUUGGGCAAUGGGGGCAACCCUGACCCAGCGACGCCGCGUGAAGGACGAAGGCAUUCGUGUUGUAAACUUCUUUGGAGAGGGACGAAGAUGACGGUACCUCUCGAACAAGCCACGGCUAACUACGUGCCAGCAGCCGCGGUAAUACGUAGGUGGCAAGCGUUAUCCGGAAUUACUGGGUGUAAAGGGCGCGCAGGCGGCCCUGCAAGUCGGAUGUGAAAGAUCAAGGCUCAACCUUGACAGGCCAUUCGAAACUGUGGGGCUUGAGUGUCAGAGGGGAAAGUGGAAUUCCUAGUGGAGCGGUAAAAUGCGCAGAUAUUAGGAGGAACACCGGUGGCGAAGGCGACUUUCUGGCUGACAACUGACGCUGAGGCGCGAAAGCGUGGGGAGCAAACAGGAUUAGAUAUCCUGGUAGUCCACGCCGUAAACGUUGCACAUUUGCCGUGGGGGGAAUUGACCCCCCCCCGUGGCAGAGCUAACGCGUUAAAUGUGCCGCCUGGGGAGUACGGCCGCAAGGUUAAAACUCAAAGAAAUUGACGGGGGCCCGCACAAGCGGAGGAGCAUGUGGCUUAAUUCGAUGCAACGCGAAGAACCUUACCUAGGCUUGACAUGUGACUGCACGCCCUGUGAAAGCAGGGCUCCUUCGAGGGUGUCACACAGGUGCUGCAUGGCUGUCGUCAGUUCGUGCCGUGAGGUGUUUGGUUAAGUCCACCAACGAACGCAACCCCUGCGUCCAUUUGCCAACGGGUAAUGCCGGGAACUAUGGACGGACUGCCCCUUCAAACGGGAGGAAGGUGGGGAUGACGUCAAGUCAGUAUGGCCCUUACGCCUAGGGCUGCACACGUGCUACAAUGGCCGGUACAGAAGGAUGCAAGACCGCGAGGUGGAGCAAAACCCCAAAACCGGCCCCAGUUCAGAUUGGAGUCUGCAAUUCGACUCCAUGAAGUUGGAUUCGCUAGUAACGGCGCAUCAGCAUUCGGCGCCGUGAAUACGUUCCCGGGCCUUGUACACACCGCCCGUCA